GAUGGGUUGUUUUUAAGUAUUCAACAAGAGCUCUCCUCGCGUCCCUGUCUUGGACACUACUAAAAACUGCACGACCAUGUCUUGGACUCUCUGAAAAGAUUGGGGGAGCACCGCGGGAGAAGAGAAGAGGAGAGUGAGAGGGACAGCGAAUGGGAUCAGAGUAAAGAGGCUCUAAUAGAAAGCUGUGGAACGGCGAGAGAAAAGAAGAAACCGGACAGCAGGACAUCAAAAAGAGCAGAGGCACCGGAGAAUGCUGACGCUGAACGGAGAGGAGAGGUGUUUUACCUGGAAAACACGCAUUUUUGGAGUCCACAACAUGGUGGCCGAGGAACAAGAACGGUGCUGGAUGUGAUGGCGCUCUACAAAGGCCAACAAUGGGAUAGGUUGUUUUCCGACUGUAACUAUAACGUUUCCUGCUUCAUAUGGGUUUGUAUCUAUAAAAUUAUUAAAUAUAACAUAUAAUAUAAGUCCAUUGUAUAAACGCUAGAUUGAAAUAAAAGCAUAAACCAACUCUCCUCAGCUAUGAAUAUAUAUUUUUGUGUGUUUUGUGCAGUGCAGUGUGAGCUCGAGAGGUUUGAACCAGCUACUCUCCUGUUUGCCCUAUUUUCUUAAAACUAGAUACAUUUUUUUAAUAGUAUGUUUGCGUUUACUUACUCUGUGUGCAUUGUAGCUAAAUUCAUUUCUCUCAGAUGUUCCUUUUGACCUUUGACCACAGAGUUGGGGUCAAGCCCUGACAAAUGAGAAGCCAGAGGUGCAAACAUUCCUCAACAGUUUUCUUCUCUGCUUUCCUCCCUCUCCUCUCAUAACCAUCAUCCUUCACUUUCUUAAGUAUUUUCACUUCAUUGUAUGGCAGUCAGAGAGCCACCAUUACAAAUACUGUAAAAGAUGAUUCUCCAGCAUCUUCCUCCCUGCGUAGGUGAAUAGAUUGAUGUAAAAGAGAAAGCGUGUUUAACAGUGGGUAUGGGUAUUACAGGGCGGCACUUUGCGUGUACAUGUGUGUGUUUGGAGAGCUUGUCAACCAUGUCAAGGAUGAGAUGGAUGUUGCAGUGUGGUUUGUUACACACACUACUGGCUCCAGCAUUUCCGGCAACAUUUCUCACUGUGCCUCCCUCACACCAUCCGCUCGGCUGCAAUAAUCCCCACUUUUUCCAUCUCCUACCCCUGCCCCAACCCCCUCCUCUCCUCCACUGACCACCAGAGAGCUCCUUUCACCCUUCCUCUCCACUGCUCUCUGCUUUCUAUUCGUUGCUAUCUUGAACCGCUUUUUGCUACCUCAUGUUUUAAGGAGAAUUUAUCGUGUUAUUAUUCCUCCGCAGAGCAUUUCCAUAUUUCUGUAUUUUUUUAAAUCAAAAUUUUCUAGAUGGGUUUUGUAUUUUUGGUAACUAUCCUCGAAUAACCAAUAACCAAUAACAGUGUCAAUGAGGAGCUGCGUUCUUCCUGAUACAAAACUAUGCAUUUUGUCUUCCUGCUUUUCUGUGACUACAUUCUAAAAAUCACAUU
This is a long non-coding RNA of Periophthalmus magnuspinnatus, 1500 nucleotides long. RefSeq lists it as uncharacterized. The transcript has 3 exons. The record is from RefSeq and is a predicted model, not a curated record. Lineage: Eukaryota; Metazoa; Chordata; Actinopteri; Gobiiformes; Gobiidae.